Molecule: ribosomal RNA, 164 nt
Filed under: uncultured bacterium
Lineage: Bacteria
Description: partial 16S ribosomal RNA
Rfam family: Bacterial small subunit ribosomal RNA
Source: RNAcentral
UAGGGAAUCUUCGGCAAUGGACGAAAGUCUGACCGAGCAACGCCGCGUGAGUGAAGAAGGUUUUCGGAUCGUAAAACUCUGUUGUUAGAGAAGAACAAGGGUGAGAGUAAUUGUUCACCCCUUGACGGUAUCUAACCAGAAAGCCACGGCUAACUACGUGCCAG